CCUAAUUACUUGAAUUAAUCGACUUAUUCACCAAAACUAGUGACGAUCCUAAUUAGCAAAACUCAAGAAAUCCCUAUUUAUCCUAGCAAGAAAAACAGUGGCAAUGCUAAUUAACAAGAAUUAAACGAGAUUAACUCUAAUUAGAAUAAAUUAAUGAGGGUUGAGGAUGAACAUUCUAGCUAUGGGCCAUGGGGGAUUAUGAAUGGAUUGAGAAAGGUGUAUGCAGAAAACUGCUUGCAAUUGGAUCUUCUUGUGUUUGGGUCAUCCCCAUUUGGAACUAGCCCAAUAUCGGCACGCCCGUGACCCGAAUCUAACACAUACUUAACCAUGGCCACACUUUCGUAGAUCCCAUACACGAGCUCCUGGCGCGUUUGUGAAGAACGCAACUUAACCUCACACAGAAAGGCAAAACCAACGCAAAAUAGCUUCACGCCCCAUCUCAACAUCAUCGAAAGCGAAUACAAGAUGGAAACCGCCAUCAAAAACUCUCGCGCGCGGGGCGAACAAAUUCGAAAGGGAAGAGACGACCUACCUGAUUUGAAGGGAAGAGACGACGCACCCGAUGAUGUUCGUCGUUAUACGUUUCGUCGAUUGAGAAGACGAUUGUUGGAUUCCCUGGAUUGUUGCCUUAUCGAUGAUGAAGAACGCGUAGUCGUUGAUAAAGGGUGUCGCAUUGAAGUAUGCGAUGGCCGUUGGAUUUUUCGUUUCCGAUUCCGUUGUAUGGGUUGGUAGGUUACCGGUAGUUGGAUUUCGGAUUCGUAAAUUGCCUAUAGUUGGAGGUCGAGGGGAGUCGAGUGUGUAUUUGUUUCUUGCAGGGUGUUGAAGAAAACGGUUGGGAAGAAAAACAGAAGAUGAAUUCCGUUCCCCCCGGGCGCAAGGGAAGCAAUUUUUUUGGUUAAGUAAGUUGUUGGAGUUUUUUGUUAUGGAAUUGUGUGUUUAUUCUUAUUUCCCGAUUCUUUGUUUUCUUCAAACCUUGCUUAUAGAUUCUACUUUUGUGUAUGGUUUCAACGAAUUGGAGGAUGGAGGAGUAUGGUUUGGAAUCGCAGAAGAUGGUAUUGAGGGUUGAUAAUGGACUCCAGGUUGAGGCUGUGUGAGAAUAGGAGUAUAGAGGGUGAGGAAAUGGUUGGUUGAAGAUUGUGAGAGGUGAGGGAAGGUUCUGUUCGGAAUUGGAGUUGCAGGGUGAGUUUUGGAGGUGGUUCGAGGGUUGAAUACUUCGGUGAAGAUGGAGAGUGGUGAGUGAUGGAAGUUCUCUCUUUUUUGAAGAAUGGUGGUGGUGAAGGACCUUUGUUAUGGAGGGUUGAGAGGUUUUUUAUGUUGGAAGAAUGAGGAGAAGAAAAGAGUUUGUUGGAGGAGUUAGGAAACAGUUAGAGGUUAGAGGUUGUUACAAAAAUCUGAUUCAGUUGGGCGGUUGGUUCCAUUGAAAAGUUGGUCCUUGGAUUAAGAGAAGUGAGGUUCUUAUAUGGGUUUUUGAAUGGUUGAAGGAGAUUUGAAGACGUUGAUGGGAGAGUUUUGUUUUUCGGUUAUGAUUCUGCCAGCUCCUCUUCAAUUCCGUUACAAGUUAGUGGGCAAUUUAUUAUUACAAAAAUAGUUGUCUUAAUAUCUUGUUAGAGGAUAAUUUUUUUUUUCAAUAUCACUACAUCUCAGUGUCAAUAUCAACCAUUUCGUGCAUUCAAAUCCAAUGCCAAGAAUGAACGAGUUUGCUAAAGUAAAUCAAACUUUAUGUGAUGAAGUGGUUCAGUGGUUUUGUUUGUUAUGUUUCAGUUAUUGCCGACCUUUUGUAAUUUGAUAUUUGCUGGUUCUUUAUGCAUGUUGGCGAUGUCGUGAUGUUGGUUAGAGAUUCUUGUUUCGUGAAUUAUUGGAAACGAAUUCGGUUCCGUUUUGGUUGUUGCCGCUGGAAGUUGGCGAGUGGAAGCAGUGGUUUAUUUGCAGCUUAGAGUUUGGCUUGUACAGCUGUUGUAUCCGCGUUUCAAUUGUCACUUCAUUCUCAUUUGCCGUUUGGAGCUGUUACAGUUUGAAUGCUGCGUUUUGUUGUUGGGUGUUGCGCUUGUGUAGCUUGUUGUGGCUGGUGGUGGUAUAUAACAGCUUUUAUACUGCUGCUGCUUUUUACUUCUUCUGCACAUCCAUCUUUUUCAAUUCAUUAAUUUAUUUGUGGAUAAUGUACAUGUAAUUGGACACACGGUUUGGAUAAACUGAUCAAAUUGAAAUGGUGAAUUGGAUAUGUAAAAAUUGGGUAAUUAGAUUGUUUGGA
Molecule: long non-coding RNA, 2248 nt
Organism: Lathyrus oleraceus (garden pea)
Lineage: Eukaryota; Viridiplantae; Streptophyta; Magnoliopsida; Fabales; Fabaceae
Exons: 2
Source: RefSeq, a predicted model, not a curated record